This 103-nucleotide ribosomal RNA is filed under the name Caerostris darwini. The record is from RNAcentral. Lineage: Eukaryota; Metazoa; Arthropoda; Arachnida; Araneae; Araneidae.
AACGGCCGUACCAUGCUGAAUAUAUCGGUUCUCGUUAGAUCACCGAAGUCAAGCAUCAUUGGGCGCGGUCAGUACUUGGGUGGGUGACCACCUGGCAAAUUUG